UCCCUGGUGGUCUAGCGGUUAGGACUCUGCACUUUUACCACUGUGUCCCAGGUUGAAUCCCUGGUCUGGGAA
This 72-nucleotide transfer RNA is filed under the name Sus scrofa (pig). It matches the Rfam family "tRNA". Rfam says of the family: Transfer RNA (tRNA) molecules are approximately 80 nucleotides in length. Their secondary structure includes four short double-helical elements and three loops (D, anti-codon, and T loops). The record is from Rfam by way of RNAcentral. Lineage: Eukaryota; Metazoa; Chordata; Mammalia; Artiodactyla; Suidae.